AACGAACGCUGGCGGCAGGCCUAACACAUGCAAGUCGAGCGGACCCUUCGGGGUUAGCGGCGGACGGGUGAGUAACGCGUGGGAAUAUGCCCUUCUCUACGGAAUAGUCCUGGGAAACUGGGGGUAAUACCGUAUACGCCCUUUGGGGGAAAGAUUUAUCGGGGAAGGAUUAGCCCGCGUUGGAUUAGGUAGUUGGUGGGGUAAUGGCCUACCAAGCCGACGAUCCAUAGCUGGUUUGAGAGGAUGAUCAGCCACACUGGGACUGAGACACGGCCCAGACUCCUACGGGAGGCAGCAGGGGGGAAUCUUAGACAAUGGGGGAAACCCUGAUCUAGCCAUGCCGGGGGAGUGAUGAAGGCCUUAGGGUUGUAAAGCUCUUUCAGCUGGGAAGAUAAUGACGGUACCAGCAGAAGAAGCCCCGGCUAACUCCGU
This 432-nucleotide ribosomal RNA is filed under the name uncultured bacterium. RNAcentral describes it as "partial 16S ribosomal RNA". It matches the Rfam family "Bacterial small subunit ribosomal RNA", at positions 29 to 506 of the family's 1533-position model. The record is from RNAcentral.